Molecule: ribosomal RNA, 253 nt
Filed under: uncultured bacterium
Lineage: Bacteria
Description: partial 16S ribosomal RNA
Rfam family: Bacterial small subunit ribosomal RNA
Source: RNAcentral
AACGUAGGGGGCAAGCGUUGCCCGGAUUCACUGGGCGUAAAGCGGGUGUAGGCGGUUCCUUAAGUCAGAUGUGAAAUCCUGCGGCUCAACCGCGGAACUGCAUCUGAUACUGGGGAACUUGAGGACGGUAGAGGUCGGUGGAAUCCCCUGUGUACCGGUGAAAUGGGCAGAUAUAGGGGGGAACACCAGUGGCGAAGGCGGCCGACUGGGCCGAUCCUGACGCUGAGACCCGAAAGCCAGGGUAGCGAACCGG